UCGGCUCCCAUUUUCGGGUUACGGGCUUGCGGUCGUCUCCUCCAUUUGUAGAAUCAACACUCUUAUCUACACGACCUCGAGAAGUAUUGCACCACUGCAACAAUGUCGACGAAGAAAGGAGCUGCCCUGCAACAAGAUGUUCCGUGGAGAGCAUCCUCUGCUGCAAAGCCAAUUCCCAAGAUUCACCACUCGCCAGUUCUUCGCCUCCCGCAGAAUCCGUACUCCAAUUACGCCCUUUCUGUUAUGAAGCGGGAUGAUCCAAUUGGGAAUGGACUGGGUAAGGAGGCUGUGGUCGAAGCUGCUGGGCCUGAAUGCAUUGUUCCAGGACAAGUUACACCUAUCAAAUUACUUGGUCUUAAGGUAUGGCCCAUUGAAGUGGACUUGAAGUUUUUAGAACCAGUUGGACGGGAACUCAAGUCAAUUGGAAAGUUCAUGGAUUCAGCUGUAGAUCUUAUGAAUAAAUCAUUCAUCGAUCGCUAGAGAUAGUGUCUUGAGACCCAAUGCCUGUUGUCUGCUGCUAGAGUUGCCUGUCGUUCUUCAUACUCUCAGACAUGUGGGACUCAUAGGAAGUAGACUGAGAAGACAUUCUGGAGUAUCUUCGGACAGCAUUUUGAUUUUUCUUUUCAAGCACUUUUAUUGGAGAAUCAUCCAUAGCAUAUGUGAUUUCAACUCAGCGGAUGACAUAACGUAAGGCCUAAGAUCAAUCACACGAGCCAAUGUCGAUGUGGAGAUCCCACAACUAUGGUAAUCUAAGAUGUUCUGUUUUCUGAAAUUAAUGCAGGAACUCGAACUCUGAAAAGGGCCGUGGCCGGGAGAAGACCAACCGCUAGCUGUUGCUGUGUAUCUUCUUGGUUAGAGAAGAUGAGAUGCAUUAGCCAAAGCAUCAGACGAGAGCUGCAGGUUGUGGUGGAUGAACUACCCCUGCUCCAAUCCGAAGCAUCGAAACAUUUUCUGCUGAAGAAUGCACAAGAAAUGGGGUAGCACAUAAUAUUCGGUUUACCUUGAAGGUUUGCACAAAGAUUGCCCGGAAGAAAACAAGAUUUACUGGAGAAGGUAUCCAAGAAAUAGAAAUCACACUGCUUUAUGCCUUUCAAAAAAACAAGAAAUACUCUGAUUCACCAUACAAAACUAGAUGACAGAAUGGAUGUCAAACAAUGGCCUUCGCCCUGAAGAAUAGAUCCUCAAGACUGUCUAGCCAGAGAUUUCUCUUUAUGGGAUGAGAUCAUCUUUCAACAUCUUGUUAGAAAUCAACAGAAAUGUUAUAAAAACACCGAUGGAAAGUGUGUAUGAUUCUUAAAAGGCAUUUUGACAGAAGCUUUUCUGAGAUUAAUGAAAUCCAAAUGCACCAACAUUACUGAUGUAAAGUGAGAUAUGUCCAAUUGAAGAAAGGAAACCACAUUUUGCUGAUCUCCAUGCUUAGGAAGCUAAAGAACUAAAAGGGCCAUCAAAC
RNA transcript from Andrographis paniculata, 1450 nucleotides. RefSeq lists it as uncharacterized. The record is from RefSeq and is a predicted model, not a curated record. The transcript has 9 exons. Lineage: Eukaryota; Viridiplantae; Streptophyta; Magnoliopsida; Lamiales; Acanthaceae.